AUGUGUGCGAACUGGCCACAUUCACAAUCAAAUUCCUCACCACUUCUCCCGCAGCUCUUCCUCGGUAUGAAUUGUAAUAUACAUUUUUCCUUUCUCGAUCUCUUCCAUCUGGUAUGCUCCACACUCAUAUACUAUAUGGCAAAACUGCUUGAACAUAGUUCGUGUGUAGAUUUUGCCAGCAUGUCUUUUAGUUGCGAUGUUUGCUCACGUAAGCGGUCUCUCCUGCAAACAAAAUUAUCACUGAUUGGCUCACAUCAUGGUCCAUGUCAAACAUAUUCAGUUAACUCCACUACGAACUUUCUCAUAGUGAGCUGGAAAGAUAUUUAA
Molecule: ribosomal RNA, 327 nt
Filed under: Triticum aestivum (bread wheat)
Lineage: Eukaryota; Viridiplantae; Streptophyta; Magnoliopsida; Poales; Poaceae
Description: partial small subunit ribosomal RNA
Source: RNAcentral